Molecule: unclassified non-coding RNA, 159 nt
Organism: Pongo abelii (Sumatran orangutan)
Lineage: Eukaryota; Metazoa; Chordata; Mammalia; Primates; Hominidae
Rfam family: Metazoan signal recognition particle RNA
About the family: The signal recognition particle (SRP) is a universally conserved ribonucleoprotein.
Source: Ensembl
GCUGGGUGCAGUGGUGUGCACCUGUAGUCCCAGGUAGUCAGAAGGCUAAGGCAGGAGGAUGGCUUGAGCCCAGGGGUUUGAGGCUGCAGUGAGCUAUGAUCAUGCUUGUGAAUAGCCAGUGCACUCCAGCCUGGGCAACAUUACAAGAUCCUGUCUUUA